RNAcentral lists this ribosomal RNA (354 nucleotides) under uncultured bacterium. Its description in RNAcentral is "bacterial SSU rRNA". It matches the Rfam family "Bacterial small subunit ribosomal RNA", at positions 28 to 408 of the family's 1533-position model. The record is from RNAcentral.
GACGAACGCUGGCGGCAUGCCUAACACAUGCAAGUCUAGGGGUAGCAAUACCACUGGCGCACGGGUGAGUAACACGUAGGUUAUCUGCCCCCAUCACAGACAUAACCCCGGGAAACCCGGGGCUAAUAUCUGAUGAGGUCGCGAGAUCAAAGACUUCGGCGGAUGGGGAGUGAGCCUGCGGCUGAUUAGCUAGUUGGUGAGGUAAUGGCUCACCAAGGCGACGAUCAGUAGCUGGUCUGAGAGGACGAACAGCCACACUGGAACUGAGACACGGUCCAGACUCCUACGGGAGGCAGCAGUGAGGAAUAUUGGUCAAUGGGAGGCAAUCUUGAACCAGCAAUGCCGCGUGUGGGA